UGAUAGCAAUGAAGCGCGAGGUUGCUGCCUGAGAGAUGGCAGGUUUUCCGUGGAGCGAAUGUCAAGUUAGGAAACUGGCGACAA
Regulatory RNA element from Clostridium sp. CAG:299, 84 nucleotides. It matches the Rfam family "S10-Clostridia ribosomal protein leader". The record is from Rfam. Lineage: Bacteria; Bacillati; Bacillota; Clostridia; Eubacteriales; Clostridiaceae.